This 433-nucleotide ribosomal RNA is filed under the name uncultured bacterium. RNAcentral's name for it is "partial 16S ribosomal RNA". It matches the Rfam family "Bacterial small subunit ribosomal RNA", at positions 29 to 507 of the family's 1533-position model. The record is from RNAcentral.
AACGAACGCUGGCGGCAUGCCUAACACAUGCAAGUCGAACGAUACCUUCGGGUCUAGUGGCGCACGGGUGCGUAACGCGUGGGAACCUGCCCUUAGGUUCGGAAUAACUCCCCGAAAGGGGUGCUAAUACAGGAUAAUGUCUUCGGACCAAAGAUUUAUCGCCUUUGGAUGGGCCCGCGUUGGAUUAGCUUGUUGGUAGGGUAAAAGCCUACCAAGGCGACGAUCCAUAGCUGGUCUGAGAGGAUGAUCAGCCACACUGGGACUGAGACACGGCCCAGACUCCUACGGGAGGCAGCAGUGGGGAAUAUUGGACAAUGGGCGAAAGCCUGAUCCAGCAAUGCCGCGUGAGUGAUGAAGGCCUUAGGGUUGUAAAGCUCUUUUACCCGGGAUGAUAAUGACAGUACCGGGAGAAUAAGCUCCGGCUAACUCCGUG